Molecule: ribosomal RNA, 492 nt
Filed under: uncultured bacterium
Lineage: Bacteria
Description: partial 16S ribosomal RNA
Rfam family: Bacterial small subunit ribosomal RNA
Source: RNAcentral
AGUGAACGCUGGCGGUAGGCCUAACACAUGCAAGUCGAACGGCAGCACAGUAAGAGCUUGCUCUUACGGGUGGCGAGUGGCGGACGGGUGAGGAAUACAUCGGAAUCUACUUUUUCGUGGGGGAUAACGUAGGUAAACUUACGCUAAUACCGCAUACGAUCUACGGUUGAAAGCAUGGGAUCUUCGGACCUUGCGCGAUUGAAUGAGCCGAUUUCGGAUUAGCUAGUUGGCGGGGUAAAGGCCCACCAAGGCGACGAUCCGUAGCUGGUCUGAGAGGAUGAUAAGCCACACUGGAACUGAGACACGGUCCAGACUCCUACGGGAGGCAGCAGUGGGGAAUAUUGGACAAUGGGCGCAAGCCUGAUCCAGCGAUACCGCGUGGGUGAAGAAGGCCUUCGGGUUGUAAAGCCCUUUUGUUGGGAAAGAAAAGCAGCAGGUUAAUACCCAGCUGUUCUGACGGUACCCAAAGAAUAAGCACCGGCUAACUUCGUG